This 245-nucleotide ribosomal RNA is filed under the name uncultured bacterium. RNAcentral describes it as "partial 16S ribosomal RNA". It matches the Rfam family "Bacterial small subunit ribosomal RNA", at positions 524 to 768 of the family's 1533-position model. The record is from RNAcentral.
UACAGAGGUCUCAAGCGUUGUUCGGAUUUACUGGGCGUAAAGGGUGCGCAGGCGGUCGGAUAAGUCGGGUGUGAAAUCCCAAAGCUCAACUUUGGAACUGCGCUCGAAACUAUCCGGCUAGAGGACUGGAGAGGAGACUGGAAUUCCUGGUGUAGCGGUGAAAUGCGUAGAUAUCAGGAGGAACACCCGUGGCGAAGGCGGGUCUCUGGACAGUUCCUGACGCUCAUGCACGAAAGCCAGGGGAG